CUAAGAAUCUUGCGCAAUGGGCGAAAGCCUGACGCAGCAAUUCCGCGUGGGGGACGAAGGCCCUCGGGUCGUAAACCCCUUUUGUGAGGGAAGAAGUUCUGACGGUACCUCACGAAUAAGACACGGCUAACUACGUGCCAGCAGCCGCGGUAAUACGUAGGUGUCGAGCGUUGUCCGGAUUUAUUGGGCGUAAAGAGCCCGCAGGCGGCUUGGUAAGUUCGAGGUGAAAUCUCCCGGCUCAACUGGGAGGGUGCCUCGAAAACUAUCAGGCUUGAGGCAGGGAGAGGGAUGUGGAAUUCCCGGUGUAGUGGUGAAAUGCGUAGAUAUCGGGAGUAACACCAGUGGCGAAGGCGGCAUCCUGGCCCUGUCCUGACGCUCAGGGGCGAAAGCGUGGGGAGCAAACC
RNAcentral lists this ribosomal RNA (404 nucleotides) under uncultured bacterium. RNAcentral describes it as "bacterial SSU rRNA". It matches the Rfam family "Bacterial small subunit ribosomal RNA", at positions 355 to 774 of the family's 1533-position model. The record is from RNAcentral.